AUGGCAGAUAAGUUGAAGAAUAUAUCUAUUAUAGCUCGCUUUAUAGGGUAUCCAAAGAAAUCUAUGGGAUACUACUACUUUUCAUAAGACCACAAUGUGAUUGUGAGUCGAAAUACCAUAUUUUUAGAAAAAUAGUUUAUCCAGGAUAACGAUAAUGGGAGGUUAGUCGAGCUCGGAGAGAAUUUUUGAAGAGCCUAGAGCUAU
RNAcentral lists this long non-coding RNA (204 nucleotides) under Elaeis guineensis (African oil palm). RNAcentral describes it as "long non-coding RNA (EGUI_LNC010349)". The record is from RNAcentral. Lineage: Eukaryota; Viridiplantae; Streptophyta; Magnoliopsida; Arecales; Arecaceae.